AUUGAACGCUGGCGGCAUGCUUUACACAUGCAAGUCGAACGGUAACAGGUUAGGCUGACGAGUGGCGAACGGGUGAGUAAUGCAUCGGAACGUGCCCGAUCGUGGGGGAUAACACUUCGAAAGAAGUGCUAAUACCGCAUACGAUCUGAGGAUGAAAGCGGGGGACCGUAAGGCCUCGUGCGAUCGGAGCGGCCGAUGUCAGAUUAGGUAGUUGGUGGGGUAAAGGCUCACCAAGCCGACGAUCUGUAGCUGGUCUGAGAGGACGACCAGCCACACUGGGACUGAGACACGGCCCAGACUCCUACGGGAGGCAGCAGUGGGGAAUUUUGGACAAUGGGCGCAAGCCUGAUCCAGCAAUGCCGCGUGCAGGAAGAAGGCCUUCGGGUUGUAAACUGCUUUUGUACGGAGCGAAAAGGCUCCCUCUAAUACAGGGGGCUCAUGACGGUACCGUAAGAAUAAGCACCGGCUAACUACGUGCCAGCCGCCGCCGUAA
RNAcentral lists this ribosomal RNA (493 nucleotides) under uncultured bacterium. Its description in RNAcentral is "partial 16S ribosomal RNA". It matches the Rfam family "Bacterial small subunit ribosomal RNA", at positions 30 to 523 of the family's 1533-position model. The record is from RNAcentral.